GAAGGUCAAUUUACAAGGCUAAGGAGGACUUUAAGAAUUGCUUCAAAAGAGUUUUUUCUUACUUUCCUUUAUCUUUUACUAAUUCUUGGAUGAUGGUUUACUUGUGGAUUGUGAUUUUUAAUUCAGUUAUGAACUAAAUCAUAUUUAAGAUUGCAAUGGUACUUGAUGAGUAGCUAUAAUUAACUUAUUCUUGUUGAUUAUUAUUGAUUAUUUGGGAUUGUCUAUUAUAUCUUGCGUUCAAUUGAUUAAUAGUUUGAUCAACA
This 263-nucleotide long non-coding RNA is filed under the name Panax ginseng (ginseng). RNAcentral describes it as "long non-coding RNA (PGIN_LNC003180)". The record is from RNAcentral. Lineage: Eukaryota; Viridiplantae; Streptophyta; Magnoliopsida; Apiales; Araliaceae.